RNAcentral lists this ribosomal RNA (253 nucleotides) under uncultured bacterium. RNAcentral's name for it is "partial 16S ribosomal RNA". It matches the Rfam family "Bacterial small subunit ribosomal RNA", at positions 524 to 776 of the family's 1533-position model. The record is from RNAcentral.
UACGGGGGGGGCAAGCGUUGUUCGGAAUUACGGGGCGUAAAGGGCUCGUAGGCGGCCAACUAAGUCAGACGUGAAAUCCCCAGGCUCAACCUGGGAACUGCGUCUGAUACUGGAUGGCUUGAAUCCGGGAGAGGGAUGCAGAAUUCCAGGUGUAGCGGUGAAAUGCGUAGAUAUCUGGAGGAAUACCGGUGGCGAAGGCGGCAUCCUGGACCGGCAUUGACGCUGAGGAGCGAAAGCGUGGGGAGCAAACAGG